RNAcentral lists this non-coding RNA (124 nucleotides) under pig gut metagenome. Its description in RNAcentral is "glmS glucosamine-6-phosphate activated ribozyme". It matches the Rfam family "glmS glucosamine-6-phosphate activated ribozyme aptamer", at positions 6 to 150 of the family's 167-position model. From Rfam's summary of the family: This entry contains a glucosamine-6-phosphate activated ribozyme that is found in the mRNA for GlmS. GlmS is an enzyme that uses fructose-6-phosphate and glutamine to generate glucosamine-6-phosphate. The ribozyme catalyses self cleavage of the glmS mRNA that is thought to regulate GlmS activity. The record is from RNAcentral.
UACAACAGCGCCAGACCCCACAGGGGUGACGAGGACUGCAGUUAUCGAAUUUUUCGGCGGAUGCUGCAGGGGCCGUACGGUCCAAGGUGUAUUUUAAAAUCCUAAGGUAACUUUGAAACAGAGG